CCUACGGGUGGCAGCAGUGAGGAAUAUUGGUCAAUGGGCUUACGCCUGAACCAGCCAAGUCGCGUGAGUGAAGACUGCCCUAUGGGUUGUAAACCUCUUUUGUCAGGGAGCAACGCCGGCUACGUGUAGCCGUACUGAGAGUACCUGAAGGAAAAGCAUCGGCUAACUCCGUGCCAGCCGCCGCGGUAAUACGGAGGAUGCGAGCGUUAUCCGGAUGUAUUGGGUUUAAAGGGUGCGUAGGCGGAAUGCCAAGUCAGCGGUAAAAUCGCGGGGCUCAACCUCGCUCCGCCGUUGAUACUGGCGUUCUUGAGUGGGCGAGAGGUAUGCGGAAGGCGUGGUGUAGCGGUGAAAUGCAUAGAUAUCACGCAGAACUCCGAUGGCGAAGGCAGCAUACCGGCGCCCAACUGACGCUGAAGCACGAAAGCGUGGGUAUCGAACAGGAUUAGAUACCCUUGUAGUC
RNAcentral lists this ribosomal RNA (460 nucleotides) under uncultured bacterium. Its description in RNAcentral is "partial 16S ribosomal RNA". It matches the Rfam family "Bacterial small subunit ribosomal RNA", at positions 338 to 795 of the family's 1533-position model. The record is from RNAcentral.